CACAUGCAAGUCGGACGAGAAAGUGGAGCAAUCCAUGAGUAAAGUGGCGUACGGGUGAGUAACACGUGGGUAAUCUACCUUUUGGUGGGGAAUAACCCUGGGAAACCGGGGCUAAUACCGCAUAAGCUCGAAAGAGGAAAGGAGCAAUUCGCCGAAAGAGGAGCCCGCGGCUGAUUAGCUAGUUGGUGAGGUAAAGGCUCACCAAGGCGAUGAUCGGUAGCCGGCCUGAGAGGGCACACGGCCACACUGGCACUGAAACACGGGCCAGACUCCUACGGGAGGCAGCAGUGGGGAAUCUUGCACAAUGGGGGAAACCCUGAUGCAGCGACGCCGCGUGAGUGAUGAAGCCCUUCGGGGUGUAAAGCUCUUUCGGCAGGGACGAUAAUGACGGUACCUGAAGAAGAAGCUGCGGCUAACUACGUGCCAGCAGCCGCGGUAAUACGUAGGCAGCGAGCGUUGUUCGGAGUUACUGGGCGUAAAGAGUGCGUAGGCGGUUUUCUAAGUUUGGUGUGAAAUCUCCCGGCUUAACUGGGAGGGUGCGCCGAAGACUGGAAGGCUAGAGUAUGGGAGAGGUAAGCGGAAUUCCUGGUGUAGCGGUGAAAUGCGUAGAUAUCAGGAGGAACACCUGCGGUGUAGACGGCUUACUGGACCAUAACUGACGCUGAGGCACGAAAGCGUGGGUAGCAAACAGGAUUAGAUACCCUGGUAGUCCACGCCCUAAACGAUGCAUACUUGGUGUGGGUAGUUCAUUCUAUCCGUGCCGGAGCUAACGCGUUAAGUAUGCCGCCUGGGGAGUACGG
This 800-nucleotide ribosomal RNA is filed under the name uncultured soil bacterium. Its description in RNAcentral is "bacterial SSU rRNA". It matches the Rfam family "Bacterial small subunit ribosomal RNA", at positions 52 to 885 of the family's 1533-position model. The record is from RNAcentral.